CAAUAAGCGGAGGAAAAGAAACUAACAAGGAUUCCCCUAGUAACGGCGAGUGAAGCGGGAAGAGCUCAAAUUUGAAAUCUGGUAGCCUUCGGUUGCCCGAGUUGUAAUCUAGAGAAGUGUUUUCCGCGUUGGCCCAUGUACAAGUCCCUUGGAACAGGGCGUCAUAGAGGGUGAGAAUCCCGUCCUUGACAUGGACCCCCAAUGCUUUGUGAUACACUUUCAACGAGUCGAGUUGUUUGGGAAUGCAGCUCAAAAUGGGUGGUGAAUUCCAUCUAAAGCUAAAUAUUGGCGAGAGACCGAUAGCGAACAAGUACCGUGAGGGAAAGAUGAAAAGCACUUUGGAAAGAGAGUUAAACAGUACGUGAAAUUGUUGAAAGGGAAACGAUUGAAGUCAGUCAUGCUCUUUGGAUUAAGCCGUUCUGCGGUGUAUUUCAUUGAGCGGGGUCAACAUCAGUUUUGAUCGCUGGAAAAGGGCAGGAGGAAGGUAGCACUCUCGGGUGAACUUAUAGCCUCUUGUCGUAUACAGUGAUUGGGACUGAGGAACGCAGCAUGCCUUUUGGCCGGGAUUCGUCCACGUACAUGCUUAGGAUGUUGACAUAAUGGCUUUAAACGACCCGUCUUGAAACACGGACCAAGGAGUCUAACAUAUCUGCGAGUAUUUG
RNAcentral lists this ribosomal RNA (662 nucleotides) under Naganishia friedmannii. RNAcentral's name for it is "LSU rRNA". It matches the Rfam family "Eukaryotic large subunit ribosomal RNA", at positions 44 to 696 of the family's 3401-position model. Lineage: Eukaryota; Fungi; Basidiomycota; Tremellomycetes; Filobasidiales; Filobasidiaceae. The record is from RNAcentral.